This is a long non-coding RNA of Monopterus albus (swamp eel), 359 nucleotides long. RefSeq lists it as uncharacterized. The transcript is spliced from 7 exons. The record is from RefSeq and is a predicted model, not a curated record. NCBI's taxonomy places the organism in Eukaryota, Metazoa, Chordata, Actinopteri, Synbranchiformes, Synbranchidae.
AGGGGGAGAAUGUGUUCCUGAUGCCAAAGUUUGGAGGAAGAUCACCUCGCCAUCUUGAGGGAGGAAAACAUGGACCUCCAAAGAGCGGGCAAUAUGUCAAGCUCAUGUACAACACCACAAUGCCGAACAAAGUCUCCAUUGAGUACGGAGUUUUCAGUCGUACAACACCUGCUCAGCUCAUUGGAGAAGAGGAAGAGGAUUCAGAAGAAAGUGGCUGGUAACUAUAAAAGGAUGAAACUAGCAGUUCCAAAUGUUAUUCUUCGACUUCAUAAAGUCUUAAAGGAGCUUAUGAUUCAUUUUUCUGUGGUAUUUCCUGGGAAACCAUUUAUUUGACAUUUUCCUGUAUCACACAACUUCUA